CUUAUUUCGGCAGAUCUUUAA
This 21-nucleotide transfer RNA is filed under the name Dysdera isambertoi. RNAcentral describes it as "partial tRNA-Leu". Lineage: Eukaryota; Metazoa; Arthropoda; Arachnida; Araneae; Dysderidae. The record is from RNAcentral.